RNAcentral lists this ribosomal RNA (414 nucleotides) under uncultured bacterium. RNAcentral's name for it is "bacterial SSU rRNA". It matches the Rfam family "Bacterial small subunit ribosomal RNA", at positions 358 to 770 of the family's 1533-position model. The record is from RNAcentral.
GGAAUAUUGGUCAAUGGACGGAAGUCUGAACCAGCCAUGCCGCGUGUAGGAUGACGGCCUUCUGGGUUGUAAACUACUUUUCUACAGGAAGAAAAAGGCUAUGCGUAGCCAAUUGACGGUACUGUAGGAAUAAGCACCGGCUAACUCCGUUCCAGCAGCCGCGGUAAUACGGAGGGUGCGAGCGUUGUCCGGAUUUAUUGGGUUUAAAGGGUGCGUAGGUGGCUAAUUAAGUCAGUGGUGAAAGCCCAUCGCUUAACGAUGGAACUGCCAUUGAUACUGGUUAGCUUGAGUAUCGUUGAAGUAGGCGGAAUUUAUGGUGUAGCGGUGAAAUGCAUAGAUACCAUAAAGAACACCGAUAGCGUAGGCAGCUUACUAAGCGAUAACUGACACUGAGGCACGAAAGCAUGGGGAGCG